ACGCCGCGUGAGUGAAGAAGGGUUUCGGCUCGUAAAACUCUGUUGUUAAAGAAGAACAUAUCUGAGAGUAACUGUUCAGGUAUUGACGGUAUUUAACCAGAAAGCCACGGCUAACUACGUGCCAGCAGCCGCGGUAAUACGUAGGUGGCAAGCGUUGUCCGGAUUUAUUGGGCGUAAAGCGAGCGCAGGCGGUUUUUUAAGUCUGAUGUGAAAGCCUUCGGCUUAACCGAAGAAGUGCAUCGGAAACUGGGAAACUUGAGUGCAGAAGAGGACAGUGGAACUCCAUGUGUAGCGGUGAAAUGCGUAGAUAUAUGGAAGAACACCAGUGGCGAAGGCGGCUGUCUGGUCUGUAACUGACGCUGAGGCUCGAAAGUAUGGGUAGCAAACAGGAUUAGAUACCCUGGUAGUCCAUACCGUAAACGAUGAAUGCUAAGUGUUGGAGGGUUUCCGCCCUUCAGUGCUGCAGCUAACGCAUUAAGCAUUCCGCCUGGGGAGUACGGCCGCAAGGCUGAAACUCAAAGGAAUUGACGGGGGCCCGCACAAGCGGUGGAGCAUGUGGUUUAAUUCGAAGCUACGCGAAGAACCUUACCAGGUCUUGACAUACUAUGCAAAUCUAAGAGAUUAGACGUUCCCUUCGGGGACAUAGAUACAGGUGGUGCAUGGUCGUCGUCAGCUCGUGUCGUG
This 684-nucleotide ribosomal RNA is filed under the name Lactiplantibacillus plantarum. RNAcentral describes it as "bacterial SSU rRNA". It matches the Rfam family "Bacterial small subunit ribosomal RNA", at positions 394 to 1069 of the family's 1533-position model. The record is from RNAcentral. Lineage: Bacteria; Bacillati; Bacillota; Bacilli; Lactobacillales; Lactobacillaceae.